UACGUAGGGUGCGAGCGUUGUCCGGAAUUAUUGGGCGUAAAGAGCUCGUAGGCGGUCUGUCGCGUCGAUCGUGAAAACUUGGGGCUUAACCCUGAGCUUGCGGUCGAUACGGGCAUGACUGGAGUUCGGCAGGGGAGACUGGAAUUCCUGGUGUAGCGGUGAAAUGCGCAGAUAUCAGGAGGAACACCGGUGGCGAAGGCGGGUCUCUGGUCCGAUACUGACGCUGAGGAGCGAAAGCGUGGGGAGCGAACAGG
This 254-nucleotide ribosomal RNA is filed under the name uncultured bacterium. RNAcentral's name for it is "partial 16S ribosomal RNA". It matches the Rfam family "Bacterial small subunit ribosomal RNA", at positions 524 to 776 of the family's 1533-position model. The record is from RNAcentral.